CGUUGGCCCGUAAUCCGGGUUGCGGACAGUGUCUGGUGGGUAGUUUGACUGGGGCGGUCUCCUCCUAAAGAGUAACGGAGGAGCACGAAGGUUGGCUAAUCCUGGUCGGACAUCAGGAGGUUAGUGCAAUGGCAUAAGCCAGCUUGACUGCGAGCGUGACGGCGCGAGCAGGUGCGAAAGCAGGUCAUAGUGAUCCGGUGGUUCUGAAUGGAAGGGCCAUCGCUCAACGGAUAAAAGGUACUCCGGGGAUAACAGGCUGAUACCGCCCAAGAGUUCAUAUCGACGGCGGUGUUUGGCACCUCGAUGUCGGCUCAUCACAUCCUGGGGCUGAAGUAGGUCCCAAGGGUAUGGCUGUUCGCCAUUUAAAGUGGUACGCGAGCUGGGUUUAGAACGUCGUGAGACAGUUCGGUCCCUAUCUGCCGUGGGCGCUGGAGAACUGAGGGGGGCUGCUCCUAGUACGAGAGGACCGGAGUGGACGCAUCACUGGUGUUCGGGUUGUCAUGCCAAUGGCACUGCCCGGUAGCUAAAUGCGGAAGAGAUAAGUGCUGAAAGCAUCUAAGCACGAAACUUGCCCCGAGAUGAGUUCUCCCUGAGACUUAGAGUCUCCUGAAGGAACGUUGAAGACGACGACGUUGAUAGGCCGGGUGUGUAAGCGCAGCGAUGCGUUGAGCUAACCGGUACUAAUGAACCGUGAG
This 695-nucleotide ribosomal RNA is filed under the name Escherichia coli. RNAcentral describes it as "partial 23S ribosomal RNA". It matches the Rfam family "Bacterial large subunit ribosomal RNA", at positions 2226 to 2915 of the family's 2925-position model. The record is from RNAcentral. Lineage: Bacteria; Pseudomonadati; Pseudomonadota; Gammaproteobacteria; Enterobacterales; Enterobacteriaceae.